Long non-coding RNA from Sarcophilus harrisii (Tasmanian devil), 1098 nucleotides. RefSeq lists it as uncharacterized. The transcript has 2 exons. NCBI's taxonomy places the organism in Eukaryota, Metazoa, Chordata, Mammalia, Dasyuromorphia, Dasyuridae. The record is from RefSeq and is a predicted model, not a curated record.
ACUCCGAGACAGGAAGUAUCUCUUUAACACACACACAUACCCCCAGACCAAGGAGCCACUUGGCCGUUCUGGGGACCCCACCCCUCUCAGGGGUCCAGGCCAGUGCUCUUUGUGCUGGGGAGAUAACCGGAGAAACGUUUAGAAGAGCCGUGUUUGAGCCCUUCUCCCCCUCUACUGUUAAAUGCAGUGGCGUCUCUAAUGGUCAGGCUCUGGCCACGAGGAGAAAGGUCCCUGACUUGGGGUGAGUUUAGAGAAUGUCUCUGCCCACGGCUGCUACUCCCCGGACAGGGGUGAGUGGUCUCUCCUUCGGGUCUUGCUCUCCCUCCCAGCAAGAUUUGGGGGCUUAGAUGAGCUGCCCCGCCCUCAAGUUCCUGCGUGGAGUCGCCAGAGAAGCCCUCGCCAUUCGAGAUGCACCACGCUGGAUGGGCCAUCAGCGUUCUUACAGGCAGCCCACAGAAGCGACCUGAUGCAUCUCCGGCUGUCGCCAUCUCAACCCUGGAUGACACCCCGGUUUUAACCUGCUCCCGAGAUCUGGGCUUCAAUCUUUGGACUCUCAACUGCCCUUCAGCCUGGAGAACAUGGGACAACUGACUGGGAACGACUGACCGGGACAAACGCCCUUAGAUGCCCUGCUGCCAUCCCCAAACCCCACACCUCCUCCUGGCAUGAAGCCCCCAAAUCUCUACGACCCUUGCCAGCUCGAAGCAUAAAGAGGAGAUGGGUGCCCCAACUGCUUGAGUGAUGUGGGAAAGAGUCCUGUCUUUGAUUCCCACCCCCUCUAGUGAAUGUAAUUGCCCUUUGACUCACAAAUCCUGGUCCCUUUGAAUUCCAAUAGAAGAUCUGGACCUGUCCCAGCCCCACCCGAAUCUGAGCCAACUUUGGGGCUACACCCAAAAGCCCCUUGAGCUAAAUCUCCCAUUAUAAAAGGGACACAUUGGGACCCCCUCUUUGCAGAGGUCCCAAACAUGCCACCAUGUGAGGACCCUCUGUCUCGUACCCUCCUUAUUUCUACCUUCACCUCUCUCCUUACUGCCAAACCCAAUAAUAAGCCUCUUUUAUCAAUCUAGCUCUCCGGCUAAUAAAUGCUUUUAUUGGGGA